This 270-nucleotide ribosomal RNA is filed under the name uncultured bacterium. Its description in RNAcentral is "partial 16S ribosomal RNA". It matches the Rfam family "Bacterial small subunit ribosomal RNA", at positions 84 to 353 of the family's 1533-position model. The record is from RNAcentral.
UUUGAUGGCGACCGGCGCACGGGUGAGUAACACGUAUCCAACCUGCCGAUGACUCGGGGAUAGCCUUUCGAAAGAAAGAUUAAUACCCGAUGGCAUAGUUCUUCCGCAUGGUAGAACUAUUAAAGAAUUUCGGUCAUCGAUGGGGAUGCGCUCCAUUAGGUUGUUGGCGGGGUAACGGCCCACCAAGCCUUCGAUGGAUAGGGGUUCUGAGAGGAAGGUCCCCCACAUUGGAACUGAGACACGGUCCAAACUCCUACGGGAGGCAGCAUG